GGCUACCGCUAUUGGAGUUCGAUUAAGCCAUGCGAGUCGCGAGUCUUAGGGACUCGGCGUACCGCUCAGUAACACGUGGGUAACCUGCCCUAUGCUGGGGGAUAACCUCGGGAAACUGAGAAUAAUACCCCAUAGUUCACCAUGCCUGGAACGGUGGGUGGACCAAAGCUCCGGCGGCAUAGGAUGGGCCUGCGGCGUAUCAGGUUGUAGGGGGUGUAAUGUACCCUCUAGCCCUCUACGCGUACGGGUGUUGAGAGACAUCGCCCGGAGAUGGAUUCUGAGACACGAAUCCAGACCCUACGGGGUGCAGCAGGCGCGAAAACUUGGCAAUGCGAGAAAUCGUGACCAGGGAACUCCAAGUGCAUCGGGUAAGACCGAUGCUUUUCCUGACUCUUCAAAGGUCUUGGAAUAAGGGGUGGGUAAGGACGGUGCCAGCCGCCGCGGUAAUACCGGCGCCCCAAGUGGUAGUCGCUUUUAUUGGGCCUAAAACGUCCGUAGCCGGUUUGGUACAUUCGUGGGUAAAUCAACCAGCUCAACUGGUUGAAUUCUGCGAGCACGGCCAGACUUGGGACCGGGAGAGGUGUGGGGUACUCUCAGGGUAGGGGUAAAAUCCUGUCAUCCUGAGAGGACCACCUGUUGCGAAGGCGCCACACUAGAACGGAUCCGACGGUCAGGGACGAAGCCUAGGGGCACGAACCGGAUUAGAUACCCGGGUAGUCCUAGGUGUAAACGCUGUGGACUUGAUGUUGGGGGCGCUCCGAGCGCACUCAGUGUCGAAGCGAAGGUGAUAAGUCCACUGCCUGGGGAGUACGGUCGCAAGGCUGAAACUUAAAGGAAUUGGCGGGGGAGCACCGCAACCUGAGGAUUGUGCGGUUU
Molecule: ribosomal RNA, 876 nt
Filed under: uncultured archaeon
Lineage: Archaea
Description: bacterial SSU rRNA
Rfam family: Archaeal small subunit ribosomal RNA
Source: RNAcentral